Long non-coding RNA from Chiroxiphia lanceolata (lance-tailed manakin), 1105 nucleotides. RefSeq lists it as uncharacterized. The record is from RefSeq and is a predicted model, not a curated record. The transcript is spliced from 3 exons. NCBI's taxonomy places the organism in Eukaryota, Metazoa, Chordata, Aves, Passeriformes, Pipridae.
UUUUAUCCAACUCCUGCUCAUCUUUGGCUCCUAAAACACCUGUGUCCUUGCUUUCUUUUCUGCUCUCAGUGGCAUUGUCACCAGCUGAACUCCCAAGAAUUUCUCAGCAGACACUUAUUCUUUUUAUGUACCUUAUAUUGUUCUACUCUCUCAGUGGCCUUGUGUUCAUCUUUAUUGUUUCAAUUUCAAUAGCAAUGGCACAUGGUUUAAAUGUGUCUUUUGCUGGCUUUGGUAUUUUUUAAUUGCCUUUACCUAUCACGUUCCAUGCAUCAGCUAUGCAAAAUGCCUUCUGACCUCUAGGCAGCAAUUACUAAGCUUGGUCCUUGCAAAUCCCCUUGAAACAGCAGCCAGGCUUUCAGCCCAGCUUUUCCUUGCCUUCCUCUGACUUCCACAUCUUUACUAAAUUGCUGAACAGAGGCCAGUGCCUGUCACACUGAUCGAUACUGACUGCUUCAUAAACUCCGGCCGUCUGUAUUCAUCCAUCACUUUUUUGUGUUUAGAUUCUGGGUUACUUUGGGCAGGAAUGUUUAUGGAUAGCAAUGAACAUGGUGGGACCUUGGCCCAGGAUUUGUCUUCAUAGGUACUUCUUUGAUGGAAGAUUUAUAUAUAUACACACGUAGAAGUUGCCUUAGCUCUCUCCAGGGUCAGGACUACGACUGUUGGAGGUGGCAUUAUGUUCUGAAUUUGCCUCUUCCUCUCUGGAGUUCUGUUGCCACUUGUGAAGGAAGAAGGGUCAUAACAGAUUGUCAUGGGACCUACAUACAAAAAGCAGGGAUAUUACAAGGUCUGCAGGAGAAAAGGAUCUAAAAAAUACUCCUCACUGUUGAAUUCUAAUUAACAAAGCAAAUGGAUUUGGCAAAUCUACAGCUUAUGUUUCUGAGGAAGAGAUAACAAUUAUUAUGGGAUUAAAGGUGCAUCAUCCUGAUAUGGAAACCUACUUCAGAGGAUAUGAUGGAUCAAAAUAUAUUAUGCAGCCAUGGUUGAAAAAACUCUAUCCUCAUGACUGAGCACUUCAGUAUCUGUACAUGUAAUGUACAUCCAGACAACAGACGUCCUUUUUAAACUUGAGCAAACAGACACCAGGAUAAAAUGUAUAAUUUUUCCU